RNAcentral lists this ribosomal RNA (2875 nucleotides) under Burkholderia pyrrocinia. Its description in RNAcentral is "23S ribosomal RNA". It matches the Rfam family "Bacterial large subunit ribosomal RNA". The record is from RNAcentral. Lineage: Bacteria; Pseudomonadati; Pseudomonadota; Betaproteobacteria; Burkholderiales; Burkholderiaceae.
GGUCAAGCGAACAAGUGCAUGUGGUGGAUGCCUUGGCGAUCACAGGCGAUGAAGGACGCGGUAGCCUGCGAAAAGCCCCGGGGAGCUGGCAAACAAGCUUUGAUCCGGGGAUGUCCGAAUGGGGAAACCCACUCCUUUUGGAGUAUCCAUGGCUGAAUACAUAGGCCAUGAGAAGCGAACGCGGUGAACUGAAACAUCUAAGUAACCGCAGGAAAAGAAAUCAACCGAGAUUCCCAAAGUAGUGGCGAGCGAAAUGGGAUGAGCCUUGCACUCUUUAUUUGUAUUGUUAGCCGAACGCUCUGGAAAGUGCGGCCAUAGCAGGUGAUAGCCCUGUAGGCGAAAACAGUAUGAAAGAACUAGGUGUGCGACAAGUAGGGCGGGACACGUGAAAUCCUGUCUGAAGAUGGGGGGACCAUCCUCCAAGGCUAAAUACUCGUGAUCGACCGAUAGUGAACCAGUACCGUGAGGGAAAGGCGAAAAGAACCCCGGGAGGAGUGAAAUAGAUCCUGAAACCGCAUGCAUACAAACAGUCGGAGCCUCGUAAGGGGUGACGGCGUACCUUUUGUAUAAUGGGUCAGCGACUUACGUUCAGUAGCAAGCUUAACCGUAUAGGGCAGGCGUAGCGAAAGCGAGUCCGAAUAGGGCGUUCAGUUGCUGGGCGUAGACCCGAAACCAAGUGAUCUAUCCAUGGCCAGGAUGAAGGUGCGGUAACACGUACUGGAGGUCCGAACCCACUAACGUUGAAAAGUUAGGGGAUGAGCUGUGGAUAGGGGUGAAAGGCUAAACAAACUUGGAAAUAGCUGGUUCUCUCCGAAAACUAUUUAGGUAGUGCCUCGUGUCUCACCUUCGGGGUAGAGCACUGUCAUGGUUGGGGGGUCUAUUGCAGAUUACCCCGCCAUAGCAAACUCCGAAUACCGAAGAGUGCAAUCACGGGAGACAGACAUCGGGUGCUAACGUCCGGUGUCAAGAGGGAAACAACCCAGACCGCCAGCUAAGGUCCCCAAAUAUAGCUAAGUGGGAAACGAAGUGGGAAGGCUAAAACAGUCAGGAGGUUGGCUUAGAAGCAGCCACCCUUUAAAGAAAGCGUAAUAGCUCACUGAUCGAGUCGUCCUGCGCGGAAGAUGUAACGGGGCUAAGCUAUAUACCGAAGCUGCGGAUGCGUGCUUUGCACGCAUGGUAGGAGAGCGUUCCGUAAGCCUGCGAAGGUGCGUUGAAAAGCGUGCUGGAGGUAUCGGAAGUGCGAAUGCUGACAUGAGUAGCGAUAAAGGGGGUGAAAGGCCCCCUCGCCGUAAGCCCAAGGUUUCCUACGCAACGUUCAUCGGCGUAGGGUGAGUCGGCCCCUAAGGCGAGGCAGAAAUGCGUAGCUGAUGGGAAGCAGGUCAAUAUUCCUGCACCAUUGUUAGAUGCGAUGGGGGGACGGAUCGCGGAAGGUUGUCCGGGUGUUGGAAGUCCCGGUCGCUGCAUUGGAGAAGGCGCUUAGGCAAAUCCGGGCGCGCAAUUCAAGGGUGUGGCGCGAGCUCCUUAGGGAGCGAAGCAAUUGGAAGUGGUUCCAAGAAAAGCCUCUAAGCUUCAGUCUAACGAUGACCGUACCGCAAACCGACACAGGUGGGCGAGAUGAGUAUUCUAAGGCGCUUGAGAGAACUCGGGAGAAGGAACUCGGCAAAUUGGUACCGUAACUUCGGGAUAAGGUACGCCCUUGUAGCUUGACUGGCCUGCGCCAGGAGGGUGAAGGGGUUGCAAUAAACUGGUGGCUGCGACUGUUUAAUAAAACACAGCACUCUGCAAACACGAAAGUGGACGUAUAGGGUGUGACGCCUGCCCGGUGCCGGAAGAUUAAAUGAUGGGGUGCAAGCUCUUGAUUGAAGUCCCGGUAAACGGCGGCCGUAACUAUAACGGUCCUAAGGUAGCGAAAUUCCUUGUCGGGUAAGUUCCGACCUGCACGAAUGGCGUAACGAUGGCCACACUGUCUCCUCCCGAGACUCAGCGAAGUUGAAGUGUUUGUGAUGAUGCAAUCUACCCGCGGCUAGACGGAAAGACCCCAUGAACCUUUACUGUAGCUUUGCAUUGGACUUUGAACCGAUCUGUGUAGGAUAGGUGGGAGGCUAUGAAACCGGAACGCUAGUUUCGGUGGAGCCGUCCUUGAAAUACCACCGUUUGUUUGAGGUUCUAACCUUGGCCCGUGAUCCGGGUCGGGGACAGUGCAUGGUAGGCAGUUUGACUGGGGCGGUCUCCUCCCAAAGCGUAACGGAGGAGUACGAAGGUACGCUAGGUACGGUCGGAAAUCGUGCUGAUAGUGCAAUGGCAUAAGCGUGCUUAACUGCGAGACCGACAAGUCGAGCAGGUGCGAAAGCAGGUCAUAGUGAUCCGGUGGUUCUGUAUGGAAGGGCCAUCGCUCAACGGAUAAAAGGUACUCUGGGGAUAACAGGCUGAUACCGCCCAAGAGUUCAUAUCGACGGCGGUGUUUGGCACCUCGAUGUCGGCUCAUCUCAUCCUCGGGCUGUAGCCGGUCCCAAGGGUAUGGCUGUUCGCCAUUUAAAGAGGUACGUGAGCUGGGUUUAAAACGUCGUGAGACAGUUUGGUCCCUAUCUGCCGUGGGCGUUGGAUAUUUGAAGGGGGCUGCUCCUAGUACGAGAGGACCGGAGUGGACGAACCUCUGGUGUACCGGUUGUCACGCCAGUGGCAUCGCCGGGUAGCUAUGUUCGGAAGAGAUAACCGCUGAAAGCAUCUAAGCGGGAAACUCGCCUUAAGAUGAGAUAUCCCUGGGGACUAGAUCCCCUUGAAGGGUCGUUCGAGACCAGGACGUUGAUAGGUCAGGUGUGUAAGCGCAGUAAUGCGUUCAGCUAACUGAUACUAAUUGCCCGUAAGGCUUGAUCCU